GGAGAUUUAUUUUAUUUAAAAUAUAAAUUUUGCGUAUUUAAGAAU
This 45-nucleotide transfer RNA is filed under the name Dracunculus medinensis (Guinea worm). RNAcentral describes it as "partial tRNA-Ala". The record is from RNAcentral. Lineage: Eukaryota; Metazoa; Nematoda; Chromadorea; Rhabditida; Dracunculidae.